RNAcentral lists this ribosomal RNA (810 nucleotides) under Triticum aestivum (bread wheat). Its description in RNAcentral is "partial small subunit ribosomal RNA". Lineage: Eukaryota; Viridiplantae; Streptophyta; Magnoliopsida; Poales; Poaceae. The record is from RNAcentral.
AUGGCUUCCCGGCAUCCUCAACCGCAUCCACUCAUCCAUCAUCACCGAAUCUCACCUCCUCCACCAAGCAAACCAAAGGAAGCGAAGCGAAGCAAGCAUGUGCCCGGGCCUCCGCAACGCCAUGGCCUCGCCCUCCGCCCGCGCCGCGCACGACCACCCCUCCUCCUCCGCAACGUCAACCCCUCCGCCGCAUCCAUGGCAUCGCCGUCGCCCUCCUCGACAACCUCGUCGCCGCCGCGCUCCUCCUCCAGGCCGGCGCUCACGGCGUCGCUCAGCUCGCGGGAGCUGGACUUCGACGCCGACAGCCAGUACGCGCGCAGGAUGAUGAUGGCCAGGGCCAGCUCACCGCCGGACAACUACUCGCCCGACCUCGUCGCCGCCUACGUGCAGGCGCUCUCCUCCCUGCAGCACCAGCAGCAGCACCAGCAACAGCAGCAGAGCAGCGCGCGCGGCAGCACCAAGCCGCCCAUGGGGAUGGGGGGGCUGAGCGCCCGCGCCGCCGCCUUCACCAACCGGAGCCAGACCUUCGUGCACCGCUCUCCGUCCCCGGCUCCGUCUCUGGCUCCGGCGCGGUCGUUCAAGUCCCCGGCGCCGUCGUCCAUGCUGGCGGACUGGGGGUCGCCGGACGGGAAGCUGGACUGGGGCGUGCAGGGCGCGGAGCUGCGCAAGUCCACGUCUUUCGGGGUCAGAAGCAGCAGCAGGACGCAUGAUGCGACGAGGCAGGAGGACAUGUACUCGUCGUGGAUGAACGACGGCGGCAGCGACAUGCUGGCGGCGCGGUGGUCGGACCUGGAGCAGAUGGUCGCCUAG